GAAAUGCGAUAAGUAGUGUGAAUUGCAGAAUUCAGUGAAUCAUCGAAUCUUUGAACGCACAUUGCGCUCUCUGGUAUUCCGGGGAGCAUGCCCGUUUCAGUAUCAUCAAAACCCAUCAUGAAAGAUCCUAGCUUCGGCGAGGAACUUUUCAUGGAGAUGGGUGCCGCUGCGCGCUCCGUUCGUUGCAGGCACCUAAAAGGCAGGGGGUGUUGGAUUCUGCCAGAAUCCUUGACUUUGACGCUCUCAGCGCAACAGAUUGUGUUCUAUUCGCUUUGAGGUCGAAGCAGGGUGGGCUUCGAACAUACCGGCACACGAUGGAGAUCACCCGGCAGGUUGCCACACCUGCCGCAAACUUGGUCUGAAAUCGGGCAAGAGAACCCGCUGAACUUAA
RNAcentral lists this unclassified non-coding RNA (391 nucleotides) under uncultured fungus. RNAcentral's name for it is "sequence contains ITS1". The stretch from base 1 to 105 matches the Rfam family "5.8S ribosomal RNA", at positions 50 to 154 of the family's 154-position model. Lineage: Eukaryota; Fungi. The record is from RNAcentral.